GCGCGGGCAGGGGUGUCGGGAAGGGGCGGGCUUUCUGCAGCAGACAGGAAGUGGGACUCUGUGCACGCCCUGUUGUCUCCUUCGCUGCCUCGGGGAGAACCUGCAGCUCAAAAGCCCCAUAAAGCCAGACUCAAAUUUUUACACGCCAGUUAUUUUAUGUUUAAUCCUACUGAGCAGAUUUUGAAGUAUUUACAGCCGGACUGUUUUUUAUACUCCAGAAAACCGUCAACAACAGCUGCUAGUCAUAGAUAAGACAAAGCGUGCAGCCGUAAAAGUCACAAGUCACCGCUGUGCUUCCUGUCGCUCUGACCCUGGAGCCUCUUCACCCUUGGUGACAUCGCUGGACACAGGGGAAAUGAUGUACAGAAUGCACCAGUGAACUACUGUACAGCUAUUUAAUAAGUACCAGUGUCAUCCACCAGGUUUUAGGUCUACAAGUCCAGCCUCCUCACAGCAUGUAAAAACGAAGAACUUUC
Molecule: long non-coding RNA, 476 nt
Organism: Chinchilla lanigera (long-tailed chinchilla)
Lineage: Eukaryota; Metazoa; Chordata; Mammalia; Rodentia; Chinchillidae
Exons: 3
Source: RefSeq, a predicted model, not a curated record